Molecule: microRNA, 22 nt
Filed under: Pristionchus pacificus
Lineage: Eukaryota; Metazoa; Nematoda; Chromadorea; Rhabditida; Neodiplogasteridae
Description: ppc-miR-2241a
Source: miRBase by way of RNAcentral
UUCGCAAGGAUUCCUCAAGAUC